AGUUUGAUCCUGGCUCAGGAUGAACGCUGGCGGCGUGCCUAAUACAUCCAAGUCGAGCGAAUGGAUUGAGAGCUUGCUCUCAAGAAGUUAGCGGCGGACGGGUGAGUAACACGUGGGUAACCUGCCCAUUAGACUGGGAUAACUCCGGGAAACCGGGGCUAAUACCGGAUAACAUUUUGAACUGCAUGGUUCGAAAUUGAAAGGCGGCUUCGGCUGUCACUUAUGGAUGGACCCGCGUCGCAUUAGCUAGUUGGUGAGGUAACGGCUCACCAAGGCAACGAUGCGUAGCCGACCUGAGAGGGUGAUCGGCCACACUGGGACUGAGACACGGCCCAGACUCCUACGGGAGGCAGCAGUAGGGAAUCUUCCGCAAUGGGCGAAAGUCUGACGGAGCAACGCCGCGUGAGUGAUGAAGGCUUUCGGGUUGUAAAACUCUGUUGUUAGGGAAGAACAAGUUCUAGUUGAAUAAGCUGGCACCUUGACGGUACCUAACCAGAAAGCCACGGCUAACUACGUGCCAGCAGCCGCGGUAAUACGUAGGUGGCAAGCGUUAUCCGGAAUUAUUGGGCGUAAAGCGCGCGCAGGUGGUUUCUUAAGUCUGAUGUGAAAGCCCCCGGCUCAACCGUGGAGGGUCAUUGGAAACUGGGAGACUUGAGUGCAGAAGAGGAAAGUGGAAUUCCCAUGUGUAGCGGUGAAAUGCGUAGAUUUUAUGGAGGAACACCCAGUGGCGAAGGGCAGACUUUCUGGUCUGUAACUGACACUGAGGCGCGAAAGCUGG
RNAcentral lists this ribosomal RNA (778 nucleotides) under Bacillus cereus. RNAcentral describes it as "bacterial SSU rRNA". It matches the Rfam family "Bacterial small subunit ribosomal RNA", at positions 10 to 763 of the family's 1533-position model. The record is from RNAcentral. Lineage: Bacteria; Bacillati; Bacillota; Bacilli; Caryophanales; Bacillaceae.